GCGCCCAUAGUUCAAUGGAUAGAACGUAGCUUUGCGGAAGCUAUAAUGUAGGUUCGAUUCCUACUGGGCGCACCA
Molecule: transfer RNA, 75 nt
Filed under: Candidatus Peregrinibacteria bacterium
Lineage: Bacteria; Candidatus Peregrinibacteriota
Description: tRNA-Arg
Rfam family: tRNA
About the family: Transfer RNA (tRNA) molecules are approximately 80 nucleotides in length. Their secondary structure includes four short double-helical elements and three loops (D, anti-codon, and T loops).
Source: RNAcentral